GAUAUGUCAAUGUUUGCAUAGAAACGAAUGAGUGCCCUGAUAAUGAAUGCCGUGUCUCUAUCAUCCAACUGAAGUAAACAUGAAAAUAUCAGUCUGAACCAUGCUCCUAUUAAUUCACCCCUGUAUAAUAUCAUAAGGACACGGCAGAACACGAACCAUAGGAUCCAGGCGGCUGUGGUCCAAGCGAUAGCUGGACGUAGACGAGCUUCUGUCAGCUAUGACAACAGACACAGAACCAAGUAGCAGUUCCUCACCAAGUCAAUCAACUGCGACUCUCUCCCUUCAAGAUAAUGAAGACCGGUGAAUACAGUGAAAAUUGAGCUGAAGAGGCCCUCCUUCGUAACACAGACUGCCGGAAUGAACACGUAGUUUGUUGUAACCAUCAGAUCAGACAACAGAUGUUGCUGAAAUUGUUUUUAUUGUUGUUGUGGAAGAUAAGUUAAAAAGAAGAAUGUGUGUUUUUCCAUUUAACAAGAUUGCUGUUCUGGAAUUAAAACAACGUAUCUUUAAGGUACACCCUGACUGAAUAAAAGGUGGCACGAGGUGUGGUACCAGCACAGAGAGUUUAAUUUUAAUUAGAUAUUUAUCUAUUAACAGGAGUAUGUUUUUAUCUACGGUUAUAUGCUUUGGUAAUGUUUGGCCAAAUACUACUGUUGGAAAUGCACCAUCACAUAACUAAUAUGUAUAUAAAAAUAAAGUUUCAUGCAAAAAUUUAGGUCUUCAGAGAUCAAAUCCUUCUCGUGAUAGCAACAAUUUUUUCAUUAGAUUGGGUUUUAUAGUGAUUAUGGUAAUUAGUACAAGUUUUAGUAACGAAGUUACCAAAAGAUUAUGUUGCAUAUUUUAUGGUAGCAAAGCUACAUCUGCUGUUAUACCGCACGUUAAAUCCCAUAUGACUGUUCUCAGUAUGUUUACUUACGCAUUCAUCUAUUCUGCUUGUAUUCGUUGUAGUCUUGGAUAUUGAUAAGAUCAAUGUAAAAAUAUUUACUAACGAUCAGCUAAAUCCUGUUGAGUGACACACAGCAUCAUCAAACUGAGUGUCACCUAUAUAAAAAUAAAGGGUUAUGGGAAAUUCCAAGUAUAUACUUGAAACUUUGCUCAACUGGCCAGAGCAGUUUGAUUUUCUAGGUAUCUAUACAAAAUUAAAUUUCUACCCCCUUGAGUGAUUGAUAACGUUAACACUCAGCCGAGCAUUGUUUUACCACAUUUUGAACCAUAUUACAUGUACUAUGCAGCGGUAUUUGUAACUAAGUCACUCAGUUAUAUCGAUUAUAAACCACAUCUAGAGGCACUGUAAUUGACACCGUUAGACCACUGGAAAAUGCCUGUUUACCUGAAAUGUUUAAUGUUUGAUCUCUCAAAAAAUAUCUAAAACCUCCUUAACAAUAGUAGUUUUGUCCAUGAAAAUGUCCCUUCAAAUCCCGAUAUUUCCAGCACCGCUUGUCAUAGCUUGAAUCUAAUUUAACGGGGGGUUCAAAAAUGUCAACUGGUUUUUUUCGUAUUUUCGAGCAAUAAUAUUUUUCAAACGAUAUAUAGUAUCUUACAAUAAUAAUAUUUUAUUCACAUUUUUUUAAGAUAUGAAAAAGUUACAGCUCAAUGUGACCCACGAAUGAAAUUUCUCUAGUCGCAUACCCACCUUUUACUCUCUCAGGGGAACUCCUUGUCCAUUCGGCAGAAAAUCUUAAUAGGUAGAAAGUAAUGCAGGGAACCACGCUUAGAAAAGAUUGCCCCAACCGAAAUAGAAAGGUUUAAACGCCACCAUUACGUUUGGGCUGAAUCUUCCGAAGUUUGGUUUACUUUGUUUGCUGUAACUUUUUCUUAUAAGUUUUUAUAACAAAUAGGAAAGUAAAGUGGACAUCAGCUCGGAAACCUCAAGUUAAUUUUCGCCGGUAUUUGUAUUUAACAGAAAAUUCAAAAAUAAUAUUUCUACUUGAUUACGCAUAUAAUAAUAAUAAUAAUUUUUAUUUUCCAUUCGUUAAUUUACAUGAAUAUAACAUAAUAUGUCCUUGGAAAUAACUGACCACAGUUACAAGUAUGUGUGGCCAGUGAGAAUUAUUAAAUAUAAACAAAUUUACAACAUCCUUAAACUAAUUAUAUAAAUACACAGUACAAAAAUGAUAAAUGAGUCCAGUCUCGAUACAUCCAAAGACACUCUCUGUGGCGCUUGGUUUACUUAUAAAAUAAAUAAUAUAUGUACAGAUUAUAUUCCUAUAAUAGGUGGUACUGCAGUUCAACUUAACAUUUCUCACAUAGUAUACGUACUUAUACUUACAAUUUUUAGAAGAAAAAUAAAACAACAGACGAGAAAAAAAAUUAAACUAGUUUCGACAUAUGUACAGAAUUUAUACCAAGCAAACAUUCAUAAAGUCUACAUCUUGUUUUAAAAAUAACCACUCUUUUAAUUUUCCGGAAAAUAUUUUUAAGUUUAAUACAACUUUUUACCUCAUGUGGUAAUUGAUUAAAGUAUUUAGGCCCUAUAUAUUGGAAAGAUUGUUUAAAAAAUACUUUUUGUAACUUUUGGAAGUUUGAAUAUUCUAUUUGAUCCACUUCUUGUAUUGUGCAUUAAAUUUGUUGUUCCAGUGUUUCCACUUUUAAGAUAAAAUAUUCUUAAGACUUUGUAAAUAAAUAGAUGUUGAACAGGAAGUAUCUUUACUGUAUAUUAAAGUAAUUGUUAUCUAUUCACAGUUCAAACUAGUUUCAUACAUCACAAACGUGUUCGUUGCGCUUGGAAGUGAACUCAUCCAAGCCUGUGCACUGAUAAUGUGUAGUAUUAUUUCAUAAAAGGACACUCCUGCUUGCUCUUCGUGACCACGCUGUCUUCUCACACGGUUAGAUGGUAGAUUCGGUUUUUAUUCUUUGAAAUUAUACAUACACCCUUUGUAAAACUGGUCCAUUACACUGUACUACCGGUAAACCUUUCCUUCAUUCUCUUUUUUUUAUUACAUUCCAACGGCAAACAAGCGAAAGUACAAGCGGGUAGUAUACAUAUAUAAAUAUUUAAAUAUCAACUGAAAGAAAGAAACAUUGAGUUAAAUAACAAUAAAGUUGACAGUGAUAACAAUCUAACAAAAACAACAACAUAAAUGAUUAAAUAUAACAAUUAAUAAUACAAGUAAAUAGUAACAACAAACGGCAUAAUACAUAACAACAAAGCAGUAAACUAUUCAGGAACACAACAAUCAAUAUGAGGGCUAACAAGCAUAACAAUGAAAUAAAUUACCAUACAACAUGUGAAGAUUAGAAAUUGUGUAUCUACACAAGACCGCGGAGGGAUGCCAGCAUUCUUCCCCGGAUGGUCGAAGCACUGUCGUGAAAAAGAUCGACGAGGUGGCAGAAGUUAUUUCCCAGUCUCAUUGUUCGGGCGAGGGGACCAUGAAAAUCCUUAGUAUGUAAUUUACGAGCUUUGAAAAUGUAUAUACUUUGAAUCGGGUCCCUAAUCAUUAAAAUUAGGUUUAGCCUAAAUUAUUUUCAACAAUUAGUCAUUAUAGCACGCUAGGUGUGACUCAUUUAUCAAUUGUAAAAUACAGAAAAAUCUGCAUUGGAGAGGUUAAGAUGUCGGCUAGAGUUUUUUAUCGUUGGAAACGUUGCUGCAUAGAAGCCUUAGAUUAAAUGGUAUGGAGUAAGCAUGUAGGAACUGGCUACCAGACCAACAUGGCGGUAUAUCCUGCAUUCUUCGCAAGCAGCUAGCAAGCGUUUAACAGCGGUAAUGUGGAGGUUUUAUAUUUAAUAAACUCUGGUUUUGUAGUAUGUGCCAGCGUAUUCAUUUCAAUUUUAAAUAUCUAUUGAAUACUAAGAUUUAUAACCACAGAUUAUGUAGAAUAAUAAACAAGGUUGGUAACUAGAAGUACAGUAAGCGAUCGAAGAAAGGAGAGCAAUGCAUAUAAAGAACGAUCCGAAUCAAAAGGUAAGGUAAUAGUAAGAAAAAAACUUAUGUUUUCCUUUUAAUAGUAGCCUAACUAACUAAAUAAAAUUACCAUCCUGGUCCGGUACUUAAACUGUGACUACAAUCACGUUUAAUAAAAGUAAAGAA
Long non-coding RNA from Homalodisca vitripennis (glassy-winged sharpshooter), 4027 nucleotides. RefSeq lists it as uncharacterized. The transcript is spliced from 3 exons. NCBI's taxonomy places the organism in Eukaryota, Metazoa, Arthropoda, Insecta, Hemiptera, Cicadellidae. The record is from RefSeq and is a predicted model, not a curated record.